This 412-nucleotide ribosomal RNA is filed under the name Salmonella enterica subsp. enterica serovar Gombe. RNAcentral's name for it is "partial 23S ribosomal RNA". It matches the Rfam family "Bacterial large subunit ribosomal RNA", at positions 57 to 508 of the family's 2925-position model. Lineage: Bacteria; Pseudomonadati; Pseudomonadota; Gammaproteobacteria; Enterobacterales; Enterobacteriaceae. The record is from RNAcentral.
CGUGCUAAUCUGCGAUAAGCGCCGGUAAGGUGAUAUGAACCGUUAUAACCGGCGAUUUCCGAAUGGGGAAACCCAGUGUGACUCGUCACACUAUCAUUAACUGAAUCCAUAGGUUAAUGAGGCGAACCGGGGGAACUGAAACAUCUAAGUACCCCGAGGAAAAGAAAUCAACCGAGAUUCCCCCAGUAGCGGCGAGCGAACGGGGAGGAGCCCAGAGCCUGAAUCAGCAUGUGUGUUAGUGGAAGCGUCUGGAAAGGCGCGCGAUACAGGGUGACAGCCCCGUACACAAAAGCGCAUGUGCUGUGAGCUCGAUGAGUAGGGCGGGACACGUGGUAUCCUGUCUGAAUAUGGGGGGACCAUCCUCCAAGGCUAAAUACUCCUGACUGACCGAUAGUGAACCAGUACCGUGAGG